Molecule: ribosomal RNA, 510 nt
Filed under: Triticum aestivum (bread wheat)
Lineage: Eukaryota; Viridiplantae; Streptophyta; Magnoliopsida; Poales; Poaceae
Description: partial small subunit ribosomal RNA
Source: RNAcentral
AUGACAUGAUGCAGGUGGUUAACAUUCCAGGCUUGUGCUUUUAGAGGGCAUGAUGAAUCUCCGGGAUCCAUUAACCGGGGUAAUUUCCUAGAACUGGUAAAACUUUUGGCUUCUUAUAACAAGGAGGUGAAAGAUGUUGUCUUGGAAAAUGCUCCUGGAAACGCAAAGUACACAUCUCAUCAGGUUCAAGAGGAAAUUCUUGCUAUACUUUCUCGAAAGGUGCAAAGAACAAUUAGAGAAGAAAUUGGUGAUAGCAAAUUUUGUAUAAUGGUUGACGAAGCUCGCGAUGAAUCCAAGAAAGAGCAAAUGGCGUUGGUCCUCCGGUUUCCUGACACUGAAGGGUUCAUACAGGAGCGUUUUGUUGAUGUCAUUCAUGUGAAUGACACUCUUGCAUUGACUCUCAAGGAGACAAUUUGCACUGUUCUAGCAUAUAACAAUUUAAAUGUGGAAGAUAUCAGAGGUCAGGCCUAUGACGGGGCCAGUAAAUGCGAGGGGAGUGGAACGGAUUGA